AACGAACGCUGGCGGCGCGCCUAACACAUGCAAGUCGAACGAGAAUCCGGGGCAACCCGGUAGUAAAGUGGCAAACGGGUGAGGAAUACAUGGGUAACCUACCCUUGAGAAGGGAAUAACCCGCCGAAAGGUGAGCUAAUACCCUAUACGCUAUCUUUUUUUCGAAAAGGAUAGGAAAGCCGGGUCGAGGACCUGGUACUCAAGGAGGGGCUCAUGUCCUAUCAGCUUGUUGGUGGGGUAACGGCCUACCAAGGCUACGACGGGUAGCUGGUCUGAGAGGAUGAUCAGCCACACUGGCACUGAGAUACGGGCCAGACUCCUACGGGAGGCAGCAGUGAGGAAUAUUGCGCAAUGGGCGAAAGCCUGACGCAGCGACGCCGCGUGGGGGAUGAAGGUUUCGGAUUGUAAACCCUUUCAUGAGGAAAGAUAAAGUGGGUAACCACUUAGACGGUACCUCAAGAAGAAGCCACGGCUAACUUCGUG
RNAcentral lists this ribosomal RNA (483 nucleotides) under uncultured bacterium. RNAcentral describes it as "bacterial SSU rRNA". It matches the Rfam family "Bacterial small subunit ribosomal RNA", at positions 29 to 507 of the family's 1533-position model. The record is from RNAcentral.